GGCCGACUAGCUCAGUUGGUUAGAGCGUCGUGCUAAUAUAUUCAGAUAUAUUACGCGAAGGUCUUGGGUUCGAUCCCCACGUUGGCCA
Non-coding RNA from Marasmius fiardii PR-910, 88 nucleotides. The record is from the annotation of a GenBank genome assembly. Lineage: Eukaryota; Fungi; Basidiomycota; Agaricomycetes; Agaricales; Marasmiaceae.